This 567-nucleotide ribosomal RNA is filed under the name uncultured fungus. RNAcentral describes it as "eukaryotic LSU rRNA". The stretch from base 206 to 359 matches the Rfam family "5.8S ribosomal RNA". Lineage: Eukaryota; Fungi. The record is from RNAcentral.
CGUACAGGUCUCCGUAGGUGAACCUGCGGAGGGAUCAUUACACAAAUAUGAAGGCGGGCUGGAACCUCUCGGGGUUACAGCCUUGCUGAAUUAUUCACCCUUGUCUUUUGCGUACUUCUUGUUUCCUUGGUGGGUUCGCCCACCACUAGGACAAACAUAAACCUUUUGUAAUUGCAAUCAGCGUCAGUAACAAAUUAAUAAUUACAACUUUCAACAACGGAUCUCUUGGUUCUGGCAUCGAUGAAGAACGCAGCGAAAUGCGAUAAGUAGUGUGAAUAGCAGAAUUCAGUGAAUCAUCGAAUCUUUGAACGCACAUUGCGCCCUUUGGUAUUCCAAAGGGCAUGCCUGUUCGAGCGUCAUUUGUACCCUCAAGCUUUGCUUGGUGUUGGGCGUCUUGUCUCUAGCUUUGCUGGAGACUCGCCUUAAAGUAAUUGGCAGCCGGCCUACUGGUUUCGGAGCGCAGCACAAGUCGCACUCUCUAUCAGCAAAGGUCUAGCAUCCAUUAAGCCUUUUUUUCAACUUUUGACCUCGGAUCAGGUAGGGAUACCCGCUGAACUUAAGCAUAUC